GCCAAGUGGGAUUAGGUAGUUGGUGGGGUAAAGGCCUACCAAGCCGACGAUCUCUAGCUGGUCUGAGAGGAUGACCAGCCACACUGGAACUGAGACACGGUCCAGACUCCUACGGGAGGCAGCAGUGGGGAAUAUUGCACAAUGGGGGGAACCCUGAUGCAGCCAUGCCGCGUGAAUGAAGAAGGCCUUCGGGUUGUAAAGUUCUUUCGGUGAUGAGGAAGGGUGGUGUUUUAAUAGAGCACUACAUUGACGUUAGUCACAGAAGAAGCACCGGCUAACUCCGUGCCAGCAGCCGCGGUAAUACGGAGGGUGCGAGCGUUAAUCGGAAUGACUGGGCGUAAAGGGCACGCAGGCGGUGACUUAAGUGAGAUGUGAAAGCCCCGAGCUUAACUUGGGAAUUGCAUUUCAUACUGGGUUGCUAGAGUAUUUUAGGGAGGGGUAGAAUUCCACGUGUAGCGGUGAAAUGCGUAGAGAUGUGGAGGAAUACCGAAGGCGAAGGCAGCCCCUUGGGAAAAUACUGACGCUCAUGUGCGAAAGCGUGGGGAGCAAACAGGAUUAGAUACCCUGGUAGUCCACGCUGUAAACGCUGUCGAUUUGGGGAUUGGGCUUAGAGCUUGGUGCCCGUAGCUAACGUGAUAAAUCGACCGCCUGGGGAGUACGGCCGCAAGGUUAAAACUCAAAUGAAUUGACGGGGGCCCGCACAAGCGGUGGAGCAUGUGGUUUAAUUCGAUGCAACGCGAAGAACCUUACCUACUCUUGACAUCCUAAGAAGAACUCAGAGAUGAGUUUGUGCCUUCGGGAACUUAGAGACAGGUGCUGCAUGGCUGUCGUCAGCUCGUGUUGUGAAAUGUUGGGUUAAGUCCCGCAACGAGCGCAACCCUUAUCCUUUGUUGCCAGCGAUUCGGUCGGGAACUCAAAGGAGACUGCCAGUGAUAAACUGGAGGAAGGUGGGGAUGACGUCAAGUCAUCAUGGCCCUACGAGUAGGGCUAC
Molecule: ribosomal RNA, 991 nt
Filed under: Glaesserella parasuis
Lineage: Bacteria; Pseudomonadati; Pseudomonadota; Gammaproteobacteria; Pasteurellales; Pasteurellaceae
Description: bacterial SSU rRNA
Rfam family: Bacterial small subunit ribosomal RNA
Source: RNAcentral